UUUCUAGUGGCGAACGGGUGCGUAACACGUGAGCAACCUACCCGAAAGAGGGGGAUAGCCCGGGGAAACUCGGAUUAAUACCCCAUGUGAUUGCCCAGGGGAACCUGCGGUUAUUAAAGGUGGGGGUCUUCGGACCUGCCGCUUUCGGACGGGCUCGCGGCCUAUCAACUUGUUGGUGUGGUAACGGCUCACCAAGGCUACGACGGGUAACUGGUUUGAGAGAAUGAUCAGCCACACUGGGACUGAGACACGGCCCAG
This 258-nucleotide ribosomal RNA is filed under the name uncultured bacterium. Its description in RNAcentral is "partial 16S ribosomal RNA". It matches the Rfam family "Bacterial small subunit ribosomal RNA", at positions 89 to 334 of the family's 1533-position model. The record is from RNAcentral.